CCAGUCUCCGUCUCUGUCCCUCUGGAGGUGAGUCACCAUCUCACACCAUCAUCAAACAACGCGAGAUGAUUUCGAAGUCGUAGGAAACCGCUAAUUCUCGCGAGAGAAGCUGAAUCAAAGAAGCGGCAAAACCUGAGUGGAUAAAGCAGCCUGUGAUGAACUGAAAGAUGAAUGUUACUGAAAAGAGCUGUUAGGAAAAACAGACAUCCAGACUCAUUCCACCCUGCAAAGCAAAGACUUGAAGCUAGCAAAGUCAAAGGGAAAAUAAGCAGCUGCAUUUCAUUCAACAACAGCCCCUGGCACAUCUUGGAUAAUUUGGCGUUUACU
Rhincodon typus (whale shark) is the source of this 327-nucleotide long non-coding RNA. RefSeq lists it as uncharacterized. The record is from RefSeq and is a predicted model, not a curated record. The transcript has 3 exons. Lineage: Eukaryota; Metazoa; Chordata; Chondrichthyes; Orectolobiformes; Rhincodontidae.